This 890-nucleotide long non-coding RNA is filed under the name Monodelphis domestica (gray short-tailed opossum). RNAcentral's name for it is "lncRNA (ENSMODG00000032776.2)". Lineage: Eukaryota; Metazoa; Chordata; Mammalia; Didelphimorphia; Didelphidae. The record is from RNAcentral.
UGGAUCAAUGACUCAGUUUACUCUAUUUCAAGACUAUGAGGGGCAGAGAAGUACUGUCCUGCAAGGGAAUUUUUUUGUUGUUGGAAGUUCCCAAUUCCAGGGAGAUCAGGAGUUCAAUCCCUCUCCCUCUCUUACGUCUGCAAAGAGGGAGGGGAGUGUAGCCAUGCAUGACCUCUGCUCCAUUGGACCCAUCUGUGACAAUCUGAUUCAGUCACUUGGUCUUUGAUCCCAGGUGCCCUUGUGACUCCAAACAUUAGCCUAGUCCUAUAACUAUAAAGUUGCAAAAUCCCCAACAAAAUUGGACUGAGCUCAAGACCAGUGAUCUUUCUCCUGCCCUUAUUUAGAAAGGGAUCAAAUGCCAAGAAGCCUCAUUCAGAGUCAUUUUGAAACCAGUGCAGGCACUCAUGGCAGAGGUAAAAGGCUUCCUAGUAGGGGAAGAGACAAAGCAGUAUGGAGAGCAGAAGGGGUCUAAGCUGUGGGUCAUAAUUUUGGUUAUCAUUCUGGUGGUCCUCCCUGUGCUGGCCACAUUUCAGUGGUUUUUGCACAGAGCCACUUCUGAAGUCUUUCACCAAGCCUUCCCCUGUAAUGAGAGUCAACUACUGGAGGAGAAACUGAAACAAAGCCAGGAAAGCUUCCUGGAGAUGGAGACAAGAUGGUGGAGUUGCAGCAAUGACUCGAGAGACCUGAAUCAGACCCUGGAGGAGUUGACAUCCCAGAGAAACUCGCUGUACACUCAACUGCAGGAGCUGAAGGAAGAGAACCUGGAUUUGACUGAUAAACUUAAGAAGACUGAAACAGCCCUGCAGAGGGAAAGGUGUUUCCUGCCCUCUUGGAGUUGCCUAAGCCCAGGCUCUUGGUGUUAUUUCCUGAGGCUCAAGAAUUGGGACUGA